AAUCAACGCUGGCGGCGUGCCUAACACAUGCAAGUCGAGCGAGAAAGGGUAGCAAUACCUGAGUAAAGCGGCGCACGGGUGAGUAACACGUGGGUAAUCUGCCCUGGAGUGGGGAAUAACACCGGGAAACCGGUGCUAAUACCGCAUACGAUCACGAUGUCUGCGGAUGUUGUGAUGAAAGGAGCAAUUCGCUCCAGGAGGAGCCCGCGGCUGAUAGCUAGUUGGUGAGGUAAUGGCUCACCAAGGCAACGAUCAGUAGCCGGUCUGAGAGGACGGUCGGCCACACUGGAACUGAGACACGGUCCAGACUCCUACGGGAGGCAGCAGUGGGGAAUUUUUGGCAAUGGGCGAAAGCCUGACCAAGCAACGCCGCGUGGGUGAUGAAGUAUCUCGGUACGUAAACCCUUUACGACGGGGAAGAAACCGCAAGGUUGACGGUACCCGUAGAAGAAGCCCGGCCAACUCCGUGCCAGCCGCCGCGGUAAC
Molecule: ribosomal RNA, 486 nt
Filed under: uncultured bacterium
Lineage: Bacteria
Description: bacterial SSU rRNA
Rfam family: Bacterial small subunit ribosomal RNA
Source: RNAcentral